UUAUUAGUUUUGAAAGCAUAAUCUAGUUAAAUAAGGGCUCUAUAGCAGGGUAAACUGUACAAGACUGACAUCUAGUGAUUUAUACACAGUAGUGGCUAGCAUUUUACAGCACUGUUUGAGAGUAUCUCUUUACAGGAAUAUGACAAGUUAGUACUUCUAACAUGAAGUGCACAUACAGAUCCCUACAACAAACACGAAAGGCAGAGCACUGUAAAACUCAGCAAACAUGCCAACUUAGUUAGAAGGUGGUCUAAAGCAUGUUUCACAGAAAGCAAAAUGGAACUAGCGGCCCCUUUUUUGGUCUGGGACUGGUAUCUGCCCCAUUUUUGCUUCAGCAUCUACAUUUAAGUCCUCCUGCCCCAGGGACAGCUGACAUAUGCUUCUACUCUGUUUUGCACUAGCAAUGGUUACAUCAGAGUAAAAUAAAGCAGGUGCAAAAAUACUAAUUAAAAAAAAAAAAUCAGGUUGAGGCAUUUGAAACCUAAUUCGCCCCCUGCCCCCACUGAAAUAAUUUUAAAAGCAGCAAGGCCGUGGAAAAUAAAUUUCCUCUUUUAUCACAGCACUUAGAUGGAAUGUCAUUAGCCCGGAUGAGCUAAAGAGGCAGGAAAUAGCUUUUUUGCUAAAAAUCUGCUGGGGGACAGGGUAAGACUGAAUCUAAGAUGGGUUCAACUCCUGAUGUAAUGUUAUCCCCACAGCUGAGAAAGGUAGGUGAGAAAAAGGUAGAUGAAAUGUUUCUGCUCAGAUGUUAGCGGAACGGAGGCUUUUAAAAGACAGGCUGAUUCAAACCUGUCGUCUGAGUUGUGUGAGAACUGUGAUCUUUGCUAGGGCUGUAGCAGUAACAGCUCUUUCCCCUGCCCCUUCCCAAAGAACAGUAACCAACAGCCUUUGGAAGUUGUUCAGAUCAGUUAAAAAUCAACAAAAAGAAACUCUGGUUUUAUUUUUUUUUGUCAAUGACAGGCAUUUGGCAUUUCCUUCUUCUCAGCCAGUAGAUUGGGGGGGGGGGGGGCACAAACAGUUUAUGAGGUCCUUCAAAUGUCAGCCAGGAAGGCUUCUAAUUUGAUACCUCAUGCCCUGGGUUUGUAGCUUGGCACAGAGAUGUCCCAUUGACAUGUACUGUACCAUAUUAAAUUGAAAAAUUGCAUUGUCUAAAGAAAAAAAAAAUCAUUUGUCCUAGCUAGUUCAGUACACCCUAGUUUUUCCCAUGACACAUUAAGCCUUACUGAAAGGACAGGUCAAAGAACAGAAACAUUCUACCUGUUCCCAAGGAUCCUAACUUCCCUAUCUGCUUGUUUAGCCCUAUUAUUCCCUCCUCUUCAAGACAGUCUUAUCCCUAUCCCAAGCUACAAUGAACAUCUCCUCAGGGUGAAUAUAUUUCAGAUGCUGCCUUUGAGAAACAGUAUGGUUUGCCCCUGUUUAGCAGCUCAGUGCUAGGUAGCAGACAGUCUCACUUCAGGAAUGC
Molecule: long non-coding RNA, 1459 nt
Filed under: Struthio camelus australis
Lineage: Eukaryota; Metazoa; Chordata; Aves; Struthioniformes; Struthionidae
Description: lncRNA (ENSSCUG00000013105.1)
Source: RNAcentral